GUGCUUUCGCCAUUACUCCAACCACGAGUCGCACCCUUCUAUAGAAGUAAAAAUUACCUGGCUGAGAAAAUUAAAUUUAUGUUCAAGUGCUAUUUCUCUGCAGCACCAAGGAACAGGCAUUUGUUUCUAACAAUCUCGUGGCCCAUAUGGGGAGCUAUUCUCCUCUAGGGGUGGCCUCUAUUCCUCUCUCACGCCCCACUGCCUUGUUGCGGUGGCCUCAAGAGUCAGGAAUCGAGACUCACCUGGUGUGACAAAUAAACCUGGACUCAGCAAUGUCGAAAGAAACCAGCCGGCGACCCAGGGGAAAGGAUCCUCACACACCACAGUGACCAGGCAACUCUGUGCACAGACCGAGGAAGGAAACGCCUGGGAGCCAGCAAAGUAUUUCCUUGGUGGUUGGGACAGACCAAGCCAUAUCCCCAACAUCUAGAAGAGGGCCUGGUACACAGGAAGUGCUCAAGAGGUAUUUGCUGGAUAAAUACUGAUUGCUGUGUGACCUGGGACACAGACAUCGCCUUCUCUGGGCUUCAGCUUUUCUUACUGGGAUAUGAGGCUCUGACCAGAAGGGAGGUUCCCAGCCUUUCUGCUAAAGACCCCUGAAGACUACCUAAGCCCCCUGAAGCUGCCGGUGUGCUGAGAUCUCAAACCACAAAGCACCACUGUACUCACAAGGGGCUCCAGCGGUACUUUCUGAAGAACACGCAGUUCCUCUGGGAGCUCCUGCCCAUUAUUCCAGAUGGUCUUGGAUUGGAAAUGUGAAAUUGCACCUUCCUACACUACUUCCAGAGGUGUCUAGGAAUCACCACUCAGGGACUGCCCCUAAUGUUCUACUGAUUUGCAUAAAAACAAAAAUGACAACAAUAAUAACUACAAUAAUAGCUAAUGUCUGAGAGAUAUCUACAGGCCAGGCAUGGAGUGUUUACAAAUAGGAUCUCAAUCCUGAGAAUAACUCCAAUAGUAGGUCUUAUUAUCUCCAUUUAAUAUUUGAGAGGCAGAGAGAGGUUAGGGCACCUCCUAAAGACACCCAGCAUGAAGCCGUGAGAGCCUGACUAUAACCUGGGGAGGCUGACCUGGGAGCCCACACACUCAGGCCGUGCCUCUGUGAUGACAGCCCUAGCCCCAGGACCCAGGUUCCUACAAGAAGUCCCACCCACUAAGGGGCCGGGCUUCAGGCCAGGGGGGGUCAGGCAGGCUCACCUGGACCUUGGGCAGGACAGCAGCGAUGGACACGCAGACACAGAAGGUGAGGUUGAGGCUGAUGAAGACCUUGCCCUCGUGGCAGCCGCUGGGCUCAGUGUAGUACAUGAACAUCAGCGCCACGGCCGCGAUCGACAGCAAGUAGAAGAGGAGAGUGAAGAAGAAGAGGCCUGGGCCAGAGGGGUAGUGAGAGGGUAGGCAGUGGGUGGGGCAGGAGGAACAGGGAUCCCUACUCCCUCGAGGGACCCUGUUGGCAGCUCUCCCCCUCUCCAGCUCUCAGUUUCCCCACUUGAAGAAUGACGUCACUGCCUUUCACCAACACCUUUGUGAGUCAUUGCCCCACCCUGAGCUAACAUGAUUCACUUGCUACCUUGUAAUAAGGGAAUUGUAACAAUAAAUACAAUGAACUCAAAA
Homo sapiens (human) is the source of this 1611-nucleotide long non-coding RNA. RefSeq lists it as uncharacterized. The record is from RefSeq and is a predicted model, not a curated record. The transcript is spliced from 2 exons. NCBI's taxonomy places the organism in Eukaryota, Metazoa, Chordata, Mammalia, Primates, Hominidae.